Molecule: long non-coding RNA, 1361 nt
Organism: Acipenser ruthenus (sterlet)
Lineage: Eukaryota; Metazoa; Chordata; Actinopteri; Acipenseriformes; Acipenseridae
Exons: 4
Source: RefSeq, a predicted model, not a curated record
UCCAGAUUACAGCAUCUGUGCUCGUGUAAGGUACAGAUGCUACUAUGCUCAUCACUAUCACUACUAUUUCUACUACCAUCAUGGGUACCGCUGCGCUCGCUACUGGCGUACCUACCGCUGCAGGCGAUGCCAACACUACUGAGAAGCAGCAGCGCCCAGGGAUCACAGUGCUGGAGUUUACCUGACAGCAGACCUGCAAGCAAAGCUUAAACACACCAGCAACCUUCUUUUGUAGCAUGGCUGUAACCUUUCUGUUGUGGUCCCUCUCCCCACACACAGCUACAGCACCCAUACUUAUUUCUAUCAGGCCAUUCCCAGUUUGUUUAAAACAGCUGCUCCCUGUUGUGCAUUUGGUCAAUCUCUUCAAGGAUAUAUAACAGAGACAACAUUAUUUUUCUAUUGGGUGAUUCCCUGCCUCUCAUGAAGCAGGUCUUUACAUUGUAUGGAAAGGUGUCCUUAUUUAACAUGUAGUGUCAGAUUCUCAGUGAGAUCACAUGCUCACACAUGUUUGACUAGAAACACAGCUGCACAUGGGCACAUAUACAAAGCGUUACUGUAGUUACCUGGUUCGGUUUUGUCUCCCUUUGUGUGGAUCGGUAUUACAUUUGCUAUUUUCCAGUCUGUUAGUACAACCCCUGUGUCACGAGACUGUUGCAUGAUCUUGGUUAGCGGUUUGUAAAUAACUUGUUUCAUUUCUUUGAGUACUAUUGGGAGGAUCUUAUCUGGCCCAGGGGAUUUGUUUAUUUUAAGAGCUCCUAGUCCCUUUAACACUUCUGCCUCUGUUAUGCUAAAGUUAUUUAAAACUGGAUAGGAACAGGUCGACAUGUGGGGCAUGUUGUCCGUAUCCUCCUUUGUAAAAACUUGUGAAAAGUAAUCAUUUAAUAUAUUUGCUAUUUUUGUUUUCUUUGUCUAUGAUUUUGACAUUUGCAUCUCUUAGACAUUUAACCUCCUCUUGAAUGUUCCCUUGCUGUUAUAAUAUUGGAAAAACAUUUUGGAAUUGGUUUGAGCCCCCUUAGCAAUGUUCAUUCAUAUCUAUCUCUCUUGGCCUUUCUAACUUCCUUUUUGACUUGUGUUUGCAGUUCCAAAUAGGAGGAGUUGCAAACACUGUAGCAGCAGCAAAGGUUAUUCAAAAUGAUCUAGACAGCAUUCAGAACUGGGCAGACACAUGGCAAAUGACAUUUAAUAGAGAAAAGUGUAAGGUACUGCACACAGGCAAUACAUUUCUCCCCCCUUCCUUUCUAUAUUAGUUAAUUGUUGGCUCUAUUUUUUUUUUUUUUAACAUCACUGAGUCCCUUGUCCCUGUGCAACCACAAUGUAGAAACAUAUAGAGAAUGUAUGGGAAUGGACAAUAAACAUCACUG